UUCCGGCGCGAUUCCGGCUUCGUCCGACGUCCGAUCGAGGCGAUUCCGGUGGCGUUGGAAAGCUUGUUCCGAGAGCUUUCUUUUGACACCAAUUUUGAAGCAAAUGGAGGUCGGAUGAGUGAGAUAUGGAGGAGAGAAGUUUCGGGUUUUUCAAGAUUUUUCGUCAGAACUACGACGAUCCGACCGUUGGAUCGACAAUCCGAGACCACAUAUGGACUGAAGAAGAGGAGAGGAACAUGGUGGUAUGAUCAGAUCCGGCAAAUGUCGCCGGUGACCGACGGCCGGCCACCGUGCGCAGUGGUGCCGGCGGUGGCUUCGGUGAGCUAUGGAGAUGGUUCAACUUCCAGAGGCUUCCUCAUAAAUUUUUGGAAUUUUUGAGACACAGAUAAACUUCAAGUGAUCGAGAUCAGCUAUUUUUCUGCGUCCAGCAGCCAAAUUAGUCAUCGGUGUACUGCCACAGGAGGAGUUAUUUUACAGAGCAACCUGUUUUCUUCCUCGCAGGUUUAACGUCAACUAUUUAAUUGUUUUACUAUCUUUUCUAAAUUAAAAAUCUAGAACUCCGCAUGUGUUAGAAAUAGUGUGGACCUUGGUAGAGGUUGUGUGAACUUAAAUUUUUAAGAUUAAUAAAUGAAGAUUUGUAUGGUAUAUAAA
Molecule: long non-coding RNA, 651 nt
Organism: Hevea brasiliensis (rubber tree)
Lineage: Eukaryota; Viridiplantae; Streptophyta; Magnoliopsida; Malpighiales; Euphorbiaceae
Exons: 3
Source: RefSeq, a predicted model, not a curated record